This is a non-coding RNA of Pelobates cultripes (western spadefoot toad), 186 nucleotides long. NCBI's taxonomy places the organism in Eukaryota, Metazoa, Chordata, Amphibia, Anura, Pelobatidae. The record is from the annotation of a GenBank genome assembly.
GUCAUGCUAGAGCACUAGCAUGCUCCCCAACGAGAAGGCGACGACGCAUUCAUAUGUCAAUCCAUAUCAACUUUCGAUGCCAUUGACUGUGCCUACCAUGGUGACCACGGGUAACGGGGAAUCAGGGUUCGAUUCCGUACAGGGACCCUGACAAACGGCUACCACAUGCAAGGAAGGCACCAGACG